AUGAACGCUGGCGGCGUGCCUCAUCCAUGCAAGUCGAGCGAACGGACGAGAAGCUUGCUUCUCUGAUGUUAGCGGCGGACGGGUGAGUAACACGUGGAUAACCUACCUAUAAGACUGGGAUAACUUCGGGAAACCGGAGCUAAUACCGGAUAAUAUUUUGAACCGCAUGGUUCAAAAGUGAAAGACGGUCUUGCUGCCACUUAUAGAUGGAUCCGCGCUGCAUUAGCUAGUUGGUAAGGUAACGGCUUACCAAGGCAACGAUGCAUAGCCGACCUGAGAGGGUGAUCGGCCACACUGGAACUGAGACACGGUCCAGACUCCUACGGGAGGCAGCAGUAGGGAAUCUUCCGCAAUGGGCGAAAGCCUGACGGAGCAACGCCGCGUGAGUGAUGAAGGUCUUCGGAUCGUAAAACUCUGUUAUUAGGGAAGAACAUAUGUGUAAGUAACUGUGCACAUCUUGACGGUACCUAAUCAGAAAGCCACGGCUAACUACGUG
Molecule: ribosomal RNA, 496 nt
Filed under: uncultured bacterium
Lineage: Bacteria
Description: partial 16S ribosomal RNA
Rfam family: Bacterial small subunit ribosomal RNA
Source: RNAcentral